Molecule: ribosomal RNA, 315 nt
Filed under: uncultured bacterium
Lineage: Bacteria
Description: bacterial SSU rRNA
Rfam family: Bacterial small subunit ribosomal RNA
Source: RNAcentral
GAUAAACGCUGGCGGCGCACAUAAGACAUGCAAGUCGAACGGACUUAACUCAUUCUUUUAGAUUGAGAGCGGUUAGUGGCGGACUGGUGAGUAACACGCAAGCAACCUGCCUAUUAGAGGGGAAUAACAGUGAGAAAUCAUUGCUAAUACCGCAUAUGCCUUAGUAACACAUGUUACAAAAGGGAAAGGAGCAAUCCGCUGAUAGAUGGGCUUGCGUCUGAUUAGAUAGUUGGUGAGGUAACGGCUCACCAAGUCGACGAUCAGUAGCCGGACUGAGAGGUUGAACGGCCACAUUGGGACUGGGAUACGGCCCAG